CUCUGUGACUCCUACGGGAGGCAGCAGUGGGAAUAUUGCACAUGGGGAAACCUGAUGCAGCCAUGCCGCGUGUGUGAAGAAGGCCUUCGGGUUGUUAAAGCACUUUCAGUAGGGAGGAAGGUAGUGUAGUUAACACCUGCAUUAUUUGACGUUACCUACAGAAGAAGCACCGGCUAACUCCGUGCCAGCAGCCGCGGUAAUACGGAGGGUGCGAGCGUUAAUCGGAAUUACUGGGCGUAAAGCGCAUGCAGGCGGCCUGUUAAGUCAGAUGUGAAAGCCCGGGGCUUAACCUCGGAAUUGCAUUUGAAACUGGCAGGCUAGAGUCUUGUAGAGGGGGUAGAAUUUCAGGUGUAGCGGUGAAAUGCGUAGAGAUCUGAAGGAAUACCAGUGGCGAAGGCGGCCCCCUGGACAAAGACUGACGCUCAGAUGCGAAAGCGUGGGGAGCAAACAGGAUUAGAUACCCUGGUAG
Molecule: ribosomal RNA, 469 nt
Filed under: uncultured bacterium
Lineage: Bacteria
Description: bacterial SSU rRNA
Rfam family: Bacterial small subunit ribosomal RNA
Source: RNAcentral